UACCUGUCAGCUUUGAGUGAGCGACCGGUUGGAAACAACCGAAAACAGUAACAGGAAUUGAACUGAAGAGUUUGAUCCUGGCUCAGAUUGAACGCUGGCGGCAUGCCUUACACAUGCAAGUCGAACGGCAGCACGGGCUUCGGCCUGGUGGCGAGUGGCGAACGGGUGAGUAAUACAUCGGAACAUGUCCUGUAGUGGGGGAUAGCCCGGCGAAAGCCGGAUUAAUACCGCAUGCGAUCUAAGGAUGAAAGCGGGGGACCUUCGGGCCUCGCGCUAUAGGGUUGGCCGAUGGCUGAUUAGCUAGUUGGUGGGGUAAAGGCCUACCAAGGCGACGAUCAGUAGCUGGUCUGAGAGGACGACCAGCCACACUGGGACUGAGACACGGCCCAGACUCCUACGGGAGGCAGCAGUGGGGAAUUUUGGACAAUGGGCGCAAGCCUGAUCCAGCAAUGCCGCGUGUGUGAAGAAGGCCUUCGGGUUGUAAAGCACUUUUGUCCGGAAAGAAAUCAUUCUGGCUAAUACCCGGAGUGGAUGACGGUACCGGA
This 545-nucleotide ribosomal RNA is filed under the name Burkholderia pseudomallei MSHR6137. RNAcentral describes it as "bacterial SSU rRNA". The stretch from base 60 to 545 matches the Rfam family "Bacterial small subunit ribosomal RNA", at positions 1 to 482 of the family's 1533-position model. The record is from RNAcentral. Lineage: Bacteria; Pseudomonadati; Pseudomonadota; Betaproteobacteria; Burkholderiales; Burkholderiaceae.